Macaca fascicularis (crab-eating macaque) is the source of this 148-nucleotide unclassified non-coding RNA. It matches the Rfam family "Metazoan signal recognition particle RNA". From Rfam's summary of the family: The signal recognition particle (SRP) is a universally conserved ribonucleoprotein. It is involved in the co-translational targeting of proteins to membranes. The eukaryotic SRP consists of a 300-nucleotide 7S RNA and six proteins: SRPs 72, 68, 54, 19, 14, and 9. The record is from Ensembl. Lineage: Eukaryota; Metazoa; Chordata; Mammalia; Primates; Cercopithecidae.
GCCGGGCAUGGUGGCGCAUGCCUGUAAUCCCAGCAACUAGGGAGGCUGAGGCAGGAGAAUUGCUUGAACCUGGGGUGUGGAGGUUGCAGUGAGCCGAGAUUGUGCCAUUGCACUCCAGCCUGGGUGACAGAGCAAGACUCUGUCUCAA